Long non-coding RNA from Lutra lutra (Eurasian river otter), 336 nucleotides. RefSeq lists it as uncharacterized. The record is from RefSeq and is a predicted model, not a curated record. Lineage: Eukaryota; Metazoa; Chordata; Mammalia; Carnivora; Mustelidae. The transcript has 3 exons.
CUGAGCUGCCCAAACACCCCUAUGUUGUGGUUGCUGUUGUUUUUUUAACUUGAGAGUCAACCUUUUCCUGCUAAAUGGUACUAUUCCUAAAUGUCUGUCACAGAGAAGAUAAUCCAACACAAUGCCAUUACACAGAUUUAUAGCUGACCUUUGAAAUAUGACGGACAGAUCGGAUUGUUGCAUUGCACAGCCUGGCUUUCUGUUAGAUCACUGUACUUUAAAAAAACUCGUCCCUGCAACAGAGGCUAAGUUCUUCCAUGAGCAGAGUGAGUACAAUGCGCCAGUCUGUAUUAAUCACUAGAGAGAGAGAAAGAGAGAGCACACAUAAGCGAGGCA